Long non-coding RNA from Hypanus sabinus (Atlantic stingray), 332 nucleotides. RefSeq lists it as uncharacterized. NCBI's taxonomy places the organism in Eukaryota, Metazoa, Chordata, Chondrichthyes, Myliobatiformes, Dasyatidae. The record is from RefSeq and is a predicted model, not a curated record. The transcript has 3 exons.
UGAAGCUCAUUUCUCUAUUCUUUAAUCCAGUGGUAAUUUGGCUUACAGCUAUUCAGCUCUGAGCACUGAGGACAAAUGCACUAAUAAUUUAAUAAGUAAUAAAUCUGCCCUGAAGAGUACAAAGUAACAUCAAGCUGUUUUUUAUACCAACAGGAAAGAGGCAAGAAACUCCAGAAGCAGAUCAACACUGCUCUUCAAAUCCGAUCCUUGAACACAGAGGUUCAGAAAACAUCAGGCAGAAAGAAAUUGUGAUUGUAAUUCCCCUGUUUAUAUUUUUCUAAUUGGCAAAGGAUACUACUGGAUAUUAAGAACAGCAAGUACUUCAGGUCUAC